This 492-nucleotide ribosomal RNA is filed under the name uncultured bacterium. Its description in RNAcentral is "partial 16S ribosomal RNA". It matches the Rfam family "Bacterial small subunit ribosomal RNA", at positions 29 to 507 of the family's 1533-position model. The record is from RNAcentral.
AGUGAACGCUGGCGGUAGGCCUAACACAUGCAAGUCGAACGGCAGCACAGUAAGAGCUUGCUCUUACGGGUGGCGAGUGGCGGACGGGUGAGGAAUACAUCGGAAUCUACUUUUUCGUGGGGGAUAACGUAGGGAAACUUACGCUAAUACCGCAUACGACCUACGGGUGAAAGCAUGGGAUCUUCGGACCUUGCGCGAUUGAAUGAGCCGAUGUCGGAUUAGCUAGUUGGCGGGGUAAAUGCCCACCAAGGCGACGAUCCGUAGCUGGUCUGAGAGGAUGAUCAGCCACACUGGAACUGAGACACGGUCCAGACUCCUACGGGAGGCAGCAGUGGGGAAUAUUGGACAAUGGGCGCAAGCCUGAUCCAGCCAUACCGCGUGGGUGAAGAAGGCCUUCGGGUUGUAAAGCCCUUUUGUUGGGAAAGAAAAGCAGCAGGUUAAUACCCCGCUGUUCUGACGGUACCCAAAGAAUAAGCACCGGCUAACUUCGUG